This 450-nucleotide ribosomal RNA is filed under the name uncultured bacterium. RNAcentral describes it as "partial 16S ribosomal RNA". It matches the Rfam family "Bacterial small subunit ribosomal RNA", at positions 355 to 798 of the family's 1533-position model. The record is from RNAcentral.
UAGGGAAUCUUCGGCAAUGGACGAAAGUCUGACCGAGCAACGCCGCGUGAGUGAAGAAGGUUUUCGGAUCGUAAAACUCUGUUGGUAGAGAAGAACGCUGGUGAGAGUGGAAAGCUCAUCAAGUGACGGUAACUACCCAGAAAGGGACGGCUAACUACGUGCCAGCAGCCGCGGUAAUACGUAGGUCCCGAGCGUUGUCCGGAUUUAUUGGGCGUAAAGCGAGCGCAGGUGUUUAUUAAGUCUGGUGUAAAAGGCAGUGGCUCAACCAUUGUAUGCAUUGGAAACUGGUAGACUUGAGUGCAGGAGAGGAGAGUGGAAUUCCAUGUGUAGCGGUGAAAUGCGUAGUAUAUGGAGGAACACCGGUGGCGAAAGCGGCUCUCUGGCCUGUAACUGACACUGAGGCUCGAAAGCGUGGGGAGCAAACAGGAUUAGAUAGCCCUGGUAGUCCAC